RNAcentral lists this ribosomal RNA (433 nucleotides) under uncultured bacterium. RNAcentral's name for it is "partial 16S ribosomal RNA". It matches the Rfam family "Bacterial small subunit ribosomal RNA", at positions 29 to 507 of the family's 1533-position model. The record is from RNAcentral.
CACGAACGCUGACGGCAUGCCUAACACAUGCAAGUCGAACGAGACCUUCGGGUCAAGUGCCCCGCGGGUUCGUGACGCGUGGGAAUCUGCCCUUCAGUUCCGAAUAACUCACCGCAAGGGGUGCUAUUAGCGGAUGAUUUCUUCGCCCCACAGAUUUAUGGCCCUUGAAUGGGACCGCGUUGAAUUAGAUAGUUGGUAGGGUAAAAGCCUACCAAGGCGACGAUCCAUAGCUGGUCUGAGAGGAUGAUCAGCCACACUGGGACUGAGACACGGCCCAGACUCCUACGGGAGGCAGCAGUGGGGAAUAUUGGACAAUGGGCGAAAGCCUGAUCCAGCAAUGCCGCGUGAGUGAUGAAGGCCUUAGGGUUGUAAAGCUCUUUUACCCGGGAUGAUAAUGACAGUACCGGGAGAAUAAGCUCCGGCUAACUCCGUG